This 1036-nucleotide long non-coding RNA is filed under the name Anser brachyrhynchus (Pink-footed goose). RNAcentral's name for it is "lncRNA (ENSABRG00000017623.1)". The record is from RNAcentral. Lineage: Eukaryota; Metazoa; Chordata; Aves; Anseriformes; Anatidae.
CUUAUGGCCAACAUGUCACUUCUAAUAUUCUUUGCUAUUUCAACUCUGAGUUUUAUAUUAACCUUUUCUCUUAAAUUUUGUAGUCAGAAUGCUAAUGUACUGCGGAUUUUGUUGCAGUGUGAAGAAGCUUGGCCUGAUCCUCUUUUAAUCUCUGGUCAACCAAGCAUAGAGGCUGGCAAAUGUUCAUGGCAAUGUUACCAAUCUUUUGCACUCCACAGAAAAUAAAAAAAGAUAAGAAGAAAUCAGGGCAGAACUGCCGCAAGCCAUCCCUCGACGCUAACGAAAACAGAAAGAAUUUACUAUUCAUUUAUAUGAAAUGCAAUGAAGGCUUUCCUAAGAUCACAGAGGACGGGGUGACUGCAGGAUUUUGUGCCAAGCUUAAAACUUCAUGUCAAACGUUUACAACCAAAGAUCUUCAGCGCUCAAUAGACAGAUCGGCUUCAGUCAGGAGCAAAACUAUUCACAUAUAAGGAUCAUUGCCACCAUGCCAUUUGCGCAAUCUUGUUAAAGACCCCCCAGGAACAAGGGGGUUACAGACCCAUAUCACAAACUCUUGUCAGUGCAGUUCUAAAGAUUUACCAGCCCUAAUUCCAAAGCACUAUCCAUAAUGCAAAAAUAUAGAUACUCCUUAAAUUAUGCUUUUCUAAAAAAGUAAAAACUUAGGUCAGAAAUAGCUUCCAUUUGGUUCUUAGGUUGGUGGUGUUUGUUGUCCUGUUCUAUUUGAAAGGGAGUAUGUGAUAUUACAACUGCCUCCUGCAGACAUUUUUGAUUCACGAAUCUGCAGAUGGGGAACAAGUUCAUUGUUCCAGCAACAGAAGAAGCCAAUGUGGAAGGCACUGUAUCGUCCAGAGGAAGGCAGUGCACAAGCAGCUUUGGACUGCUCACUGAAGCAAUGAUUUUCAACAUGUACAAAACCCCAUCUGUUUUCUGGUAAAAGGAUGUCUGUCUGUAUGGCAAAUAAUGUUAAAUCUAAAGGCUUAGAGCUAAAAGGGUGAAUAAGAGAAUAAUAAAAGCCAGUGUUUCUUAAGUAUUCCCA